AAGAUGUAGAGGCAGGAAGAAAAAUGGCUGUUUUUUCCAAGUGACAAUGUUUAUUUACACUGAUAGGUUACAUUAGGUAAUUAGGACCAUAAUUACAUUUUUAUUGCUUAGAGUACCAGUAACAUUGUUUAUUCUGCAGUUAUAUUCCACAGUUACAAUAUGCAAAGUCAGGAGCUUUGUGCAGCUCUCAAGAAAUUCAUUGACUAAAGUAACUUUUAAGCGGGCAGAUCCAGGAACAAGGGAGCUUAUUGAAACAUUGUAGUUAUCCCAGCAAGCAAGUUCCUUUAUUCCCAGGAAUUAUAUGCCUAAAAUCAAGGUUGAGACUGAGAAGAUUCUAACACAGAGCUUCUUCAUAAGGGACAUUGCUACAGCAGAGAGGCAUCCCAUGGCUUUACAAAAAUAUUUUAGCAGCCAGGCAUUUUGUGUCUUUACAGAGAAACUUCCUAGCAGCCAGGCUUUCUGUGCCUUUGCAGAGAAACUUUCUACCUAGCAAGCAUGCCACAAUCAUGAAGUUUAUCAGAGACCCCAAUCCCAAACACAGAACCCUCAUAGAUGAGCCCUGUGAUGAUUUACUAAAAGAAAGAACAGGGGGGCUGGGGAUGUGUCUCAAGCGAUAGCGCGCUCACCUGGCAUGCGUGCGGCCCGGGUUCCAUCCUCAUUACCACAUACAAAGAUGUUGUGUCCGCCGAUAGCUAAAAAAUAAAUAUUAAAAUUCUCUCUCUCUCUCUCCCUCUCUCCCUCUCUCCCUCUCUCUUUAAAAAAAAAAAGAAAGAAAGAACAGAGGCAGUGGAUUAGACUUACACUUUUAGCUUGUCUUUUUGUUUCAUUUUUAUAAUAAUAUUAUAUAUAUGUAGAUAUAGAUAGAUGGAUAGAUAGAUAUUGAAGCUUAUAAAGCUUAAAUAUUGUGUGCCAUUUUAGUUUUUGUUCUUUAUUGAAAUAUCAUUAAUGUGUGUUUAAGGAAUGCAAUGAUUAUAUAUAUAUAUAUACAUACAUACAUACACACACACACAUAUACACACACAUAUAUGUGUAUACAUACAUAUAUACACAUAUAUGUCUAUGUUUGUUUAUAUAUAUAUAUAUAUAUAAAUGAUCAUCACAAAGUAGUUAUCAUUUUCACUUCACAGAGAUUCCUUUUGGAAUCUUCAUGUCUUUUUUUUUUAACUCUGCAUUUUUUCUCCCCCUCUCCUAUUUUCUCCUCACUCUUUUAAUAUCUAGAACAUUCCAGGUCACUUGCAUAUAUAGUGAAAUUUAGAACAUCACUGUGCAUGCACAGAGAAAGCACCAUCUUAGGAGAGACUGAGAAGACUUUAAUUUUAAAUCUUGGGUUCUUCCCUAUCUGUUAGAAGACAUACCAUAACUAUAAAAAAAUGGAAAUAGAAAAAUCUAAAUUCCAGACCUAACAUAUUCAAGUGUCUCAUUUCCUAUCAUUUCAGUUUCUCUGUCUCAUACUGUGUGUUUCUUUUUGCCUCAUCUUGUCUUUAUCUGCUGUCUCUUUGUACAUGUGUAUGCUUUUAUAUAAAAUAAAUUUAAUCUUAAUAAAAUCUGUCAUUUUUAAGGAAAUGUUAAAAUAUGAUACUGAGACUACUAAAAUUGUCCUUUUAGAAACUUUUCAUAUUUUCUUCAUUAUUUCCUUUGAAAAUCCAUUCUGAAUUUACAUAUCCAUGAUGUGGGUGAGGAUUGAUGUUUUCCUGUUCCAAGUACACUUCAGGUUCAAGUAAUUCAGGCUAAGCACACUUCAGGUUCCAGUGAAAGUGUCUAGUUGCACUUUCUUUCCCUCUCUCUCUCAUUUCUCCCCCAAGUCUAUACCCCCAUCCUCAGGGACCACUUUCCCAUGAAACACUGAGUACACUCUACCUCUGUGCUCAUGCUUGGAAAUCUCUGGCAAUCCCACAAAGCAGCACCUAAAUCAUUCUUGGGGACAAACUCUACCUUGAGCCCCUGUGCUUAGAGGAAUAUUUGUUGUCAUGAUUUACCAUGGUGAAUGCCAGCAGAGCCUGAAGACCUCGGGCAAUAUCUGUUCUUCUCAAGACUGCUGUCAGAAUCCUGGACAUGUAUCUCUUCUCUGCCAUCAUCUCUUCCUCAUAACUCACAACAGGGUGUUCUUUCCAUAUGAUUCCCAGGCAUCUGUGUACACCAGCUCCUGGUCACAUUUUCUAAGGGACUUCUCCAAGCAAUGGAAGCAUUGCUAGUUCUGUUCUCACCCAGCCUUGUCCUGCUACUGGCCCUGUCCGCACCUGACUCUUCUCCUUGGCCAGGUAUCCACCAUGAAGAUCUUCCUACCACAGUAACCCUGAACUCUGGAGGAGGCCGUCUGGGCCACUGUGAGACCUUUUUUAAAAAAAAAAAAAAACUUGGUUCAGUCAUUGAGUCCUCUUAAUGUCCUUUGGGAUCCCCUAUAUGCAGUGUGUACAUCACACAGGACAUUUUAGGGGCCAGUAUGUAAAGAAGCCCAGAUCUUCUUCCCACAUCAUUGGCUCAGGCUCACUGUAUUAUCCAACACAAAGGAGGACAGUGGGAAAACAGUUGAUAAGCAAAUGCUAACAACCCAUCCAACAGGUCUGUGACCCCUGAGGCUUCACCCAAAGAGAGUAUGUAUGGAGAGGAGAGAGAAAUCAGAGGAAAAAUAAAAUAAAAUAAAAAAAGAUGGUACCAGUUCAGCCCAGCUCUGCCAUGGACUAACAUGGCAGUUUGCACUCAUAUGCUAAAUCUCCUGAAGCUUUUGUAUAUCAGGUUACAUGAAGCUAAAAUGAAUAGAUCAGUAAUUGUGAUGAGGACUGAUUGAAGAAAUGCAUAGAUGUGUGAGCUUUAAAUGAAUAAAUACCAGCUUGCAGAAACUUUAAGCCAUGCGAGGACUCUGAUAGUGUGAGGCAGGACAUGAGACAAAGCUGAUUAUUCCUGCUUGUGGGAGAAGUGUUCUUCAAGAGGUAUCCAGUCUCCUAUGGAUACCACGCCCAAAGCCAGAAGGAUGUGCUCAGCGUGUGGUCCCCGUGUUCCAGCUCUGCAGCUUGAAGGGCCCUGUGUUCCAGUUCCCUCUUUCUCACAAAAGAGGGAGAAUCCCAGUCCAGCUUUGCCCAGAUCUAAACAGCUUUCCACACCCUCAAAACAAGGGGAACUGGCAAGGUACAGAGCUGGCCUUGGCUGGACAGAGACCUUGGACAUUUUCAUGGAAAGGGAGUAAAGGUUUGUUUGUGGUUGUGAGUGUUUCCUAUUGGUUCUAACUGUGGAUUCUAGGAGGCCUCCAGUUCAGCUCAAAAUCAAUCUGGGGGCAAACAGAGCUGAAUGUGAUCCCUAGAAGCAGAAACGUGAAGUACUGAGGAUGACUGAGGGGACUCAGAGAGAAGGAGUUCACACUUAGAGAAUAUUUCACAUUGAUUUAUUUUCAUUCUCUGUGACAUGCAUGUAGUAGAAUAAAUUUAUUUUAAAAUUAUAAUAAUUAGCGUACCAUAGGAAUAUGUGGAAAAUAGAAGUAGAGGGAUAUAAUUUAAAAAAAAGUUAAAAUGUUUUUUUGUUUUGUUUUGUUUUUUAAGAUAGUAGAAUUUUAAUCAAUGACCAUGGUGGCUUUUUAUCUGUUUUGAGUUUUCUAUGAUGAAAUAAAAUAUUAUACCAUAUAUUUGACAAUUAUUUUACCCUUUGAAUUUUAGAUUAAAAAAAUUAUGAUUCAUAUCAGAAAGAAUUGGAAAUGCACUUGAAUUCUUCAUAUUAUUUAAUUUUACUAAUAUUUUAAACUCAGAAUUUUAUAAAGCAAAUAUGAUGACUUUACUAAAGCAUGUAAUUAUAGUUUGAGGACAUUUCUUAGAUUAAUAAGUGAGAAUAAUUUCCAGUAACUCAGGAGGAGAACUUCUUCCUGUUUAAAAAUAGUUUUCCUAAUUCUUCCUUCAAAAUGACAAAAACAGUAUUUCCAUAAAGUUAUUACUUGAUAGAUGAAUGGGAAAUAAUAACUCUGUUGAACUUUAAUAAAUUUUAUACAAAUGUUGUCCUAGUUAUAGCAGUUUGGCAUCUUCUCUAAUAUUACCUUGAAUGAUAAAAAAAAAAAAAAAAAACAAUGUUAGCUAAUUAGGAUUUUGAAUAACAGAGAAAUUAGGAAGUGGGAAGCAGGAUUUCAUUUCCUUAUUCCUACAGAGAGGGCAGCUGAACCCCAGGCUUCCACUGAUAGAAACCUUGAGUUAAGUUGCUGAAUAGUGUGAGGACAGACACAUACAAUUGUUGAAUCAGUGCUACUAUGACCAGUUUUAUUUCUUUUUUAUGUGUGCCAUAGCAUUUACAGCCUUGAGAGAAUGAUAGUAAAUUUUCAAAAUUAAUCUCAAAAAUUUCCCUUUGUUAUACUUUAUUUUGGUGUCUAACACACUGAAAACUUGCCUAUUUUGUUCACAAAUUAACAGUGUGGGUUGCCUUGCUAUAUUUUCUGCAAUCUACCUUAGAGACUCUUUGUAUAUUGAAAUUCUUAUUUGAAGAUAGCUGUUAAUUCUCAAGAGUUUAAUGAAGCCCAAGUUUAAUCAAGUACUACUAACUGACUGACUGUCAUCAGACGAGAAAGAUUGUUGCUUACUAAUUGUUUGAUUUCUAAAAUCCAUUGUUUACAUUCAUAAAAUUUAUUUUUCAUUUUUUCUCAUUCUAUUAAAGCUUUGAGUCAAUG
This 4636-nucleotide long non-coding RNA is filed under the name Marmota monax (woodchuck). Lineage: Eukaryota; Metazoa; Chordata; Mammalia; Rodentia; Sciuridae. The record is from RNAcentral.